GAAAUGCGAUACUUAAUGUGAAACGCAACGCAGUGUGAAUCAUCAAGGUUUCGAACGCACAUUGCGCUGUCCGGGUCUUCCCGGACAGCAUGCCUGUUUGAGCAUCGUUUCAAACCUCAACCGCGCGCCGCCCUCACCGGCGCGCGCGGUUGGACGCUGAGCGCCUCACUUGCUUGCGCGAGUGGGCCGCUUGAAAUGGAGACCCCUUUCUGGAUGCAGCGCGCACCACGCCGUCUGCCUCUUGUGCUGUGACGAAGCUCCGCUUCCCACCACCCCACUCGAGCACGCAGUCGACGGCCGCAGCGUCACAACACGCGAAGGAAAGGACCGAGAACGAAAUGCACAGUGCGUCGCCCGCAAGGGGGGCGGCUGUUACCAUCGCGAUCUCAAAUCAGGCAAG
This 400-nucleotide unclassified non-coding RNA is filed under the name uncultured fungus. RNAcentral describes it as "sequence contains ITS1". The stretch from base 1 to 107 matches the Rfam family "5.8S ribosomal RNA", at positions 50 to 154 of the family's 154-position model. Lineage: Eukaryota; Fungi. The record is from RNAcentral.